RNAcentral lists this ribosomal RNA (377 nucleotides) under uncultured Lachnospiraceae bacterium. RNAcentral describes it as "bacterial SSU rRNA". It matches the Rfam family "Bacterial small subunit ribosomal RNA", at positions 355 to 749 of the family's 1533-position model. The record is from RNAcentral. Lineage: Bacteria; Bacillati; Bacillota; Clostridia; Lachnospirales; Lachnospiraceae.
UGGGGAAUAUUGCACAAUGGAGGAAACUCUGAUGCAGCGACGCCGCGUGAGUGAAGAAGUAAUUCGUUAUGUAAAGCUCUAUCAGCAGGGAAGAUAGUGACGGUACCUGACUAAGAAGCUCCGGCUAAAUACGUGCCAGCAGCCGCGGUAAUACGUAUGGAGCAAGCGUUAUCCGGAUUUACUGGGUGUAAAGGGAGUGUAGGUGGCCAUGCAAGUCAGAAGUGAAAAUCCGGGGCUCAACCCCGGAACUGCUUUUGAAACUGUAAGGCUGGAGUGCAGGAGGGGUGAGUGGAAUUCCUAGUGUAGCGGUGAAAUGCGUAGAUAUUAGGAGGAACACCAGUGGCGAAGGCGGCUCACUGGACUGUAACUGACACUGA